GCACUGAUGAGGAGUCCCACAAUAGGACGAAACGGCCGUUCAGUGC
Molecule: non-coding RNA, 46 nt
Organism: Schistosoma rodhaini
Lineage: Eukaryota; Metazoa; Platyhelminthes; Trematoda; Strigeidida; Schistosomatidae
Source: Rfam